Molecule: ribosomal RNA, 749 nt
Filed under: uncultured Flavobacterium sp.
Lineage: Bacteria; Pseudomonadati; Bacteroidota; Flavobacteriia; Flavobacteriales; Flavobacteriaceae
Description: bacterial SSU rRNA
Rfam family: Bacterial small subunit ribosomal RNA
Source: RNAcentral
CGUAGGCGGUCAGGUAAGUCAGUGGUGAAAGCCCAUCGCUCAACGGUGGAACGGCCAUUGAUACUGUCUGACUUGAAUUAUUAGGAAGUAACUAGAAUAUGUAGUGUAGCGGUGAAAUGCUUAGAGAUUACAUGGAAUACCAAUUGCGAAGGCAGGUUACUACUAAUAUAUUGACGCUGAUGGACGAAAGCGUGGGUAGCGAACAGGAUUAGAUACCCUGGUAGUCCACGCCGUAAACGAUGGAUACUAGCUGUUGGGAGCAAUCUCAGUGGCUAAGCGAAAGUGAUAAGUAUCCCACCUGGGGAGUACGUUCGCAAGAAUGAAACUCAAAGGAAUUGACGGGGGCCCGCACAAGCGGUGGAGCAUGUGGUUUAAUUCGAUGAUACGCGAGGAACCUUACCAAGGCUUAAAUGUAGAUUGACCGGUUUGGAAACAGACUUUUCGCAAGACAAUUUACAAGGUGCUGCAUGGUUGUCGUCAGCUCGUGCCGUGAGGUGUCAGGUUAAGUCCUAUAACGAGCGCAACCCCUGUUGUUAGUUGCCAGCGAGUCAUGUCGGGAACUCUAACAAGACUGCCAGUGCAAACUGUGAGGAAGGUGGGGAUGACGUCAAAUCAUCACGGCCCUUACGCCUUGGGCUACACACGUGCUACAAUGGCCGGUACAGAGAGCAGCCACUGGGCGACCAGGAGCGAAUCUAUAAAACCGGUCACAGUUCGGAUCGGAGUCUGCUACUCGACUCCGUGAAGCU